Molecule: transfer RNA, 75 nt
Filed under: Leptolyngbya valderiana BDU 20041
Lineage: Bacteria; Bacillati; Cyanobacteriota; Cyanophyceae; Leptolyngbyales; Leptolyngbyaceae
Also listed under: 4 other names
Description: tRNA-Met
Rfam family: tRNA
About the family: Transfer RNA (tRNA) molecules are approximately 80 nucleotides in length.
Source: RNAcentral
GGCGAGGUAGCUCAGCUGGUCUAGAGCGCUGGAUUCAUAACCCGGAGGUCGAGGGUUCGAGUCCCUCCCUCGCCA